Oryza sativa Japonica Group (Japanese rice) is the source of this 275-nucleotide microRNA precursor. It matches the Rfam family "MIR821 microRNA precursor family". NCBI's taxonomy places the organism in Eukaryota, Viridiplantae, Streptophyta, Magnoliopsida, Poales, Poaceae. The record is from Rfam.
GAUUUCAAUUGAAAAAGUCAUCAACAACAAAGUUGAAUAACUCAUCAAGAUCUAAAACUUUUAUUUUUGUUAUUUCUUCAUCUGACGAAAUGUUAGUAAUAUUAUUCACAAAUUUUACAUAUAUGUGUUAUAGUUUAUAAAACCAGAUAAGAGAUAUGUCAAUUUUGUGAACAAUGUUACUAUCACUUUGUCGUAUGAAGAAAUGACCAAAAUAAAAGUUUUAGAUCUUGAUGAGUUAUUCAACUUUGUUGUUGAUGACUUUUUCAGUUGAUAUC